UACAGAGGGUGCGAGCGUUGUCCGGAAUCACUGGGCGUAAAGGGCGCGUAGGUGGCGCUCCAAGUCUGUGGUGAAAGCUCGAUGCUCAACAUCGAGUCGGCCAUAGAGACUGGAGGGCUCGAGCACUGUAGGGGCAGAUGGAAUUCCUGGUGUAGCGGUGGAAUGCGCAGAUAUCAGGAGGAACACCGAUGGCGAAGGCAGUUCUCUGGGCCGUAACUGACGCUGAGGAGCGAAAGCGUGGGGAGCGAACAGG
This 253-nucleotide ribosomal RNA is filed under the name uncultured bacterium. Its description in RNAcentral is "partial 16S ribosomal RNA". It matches the Rfam family "Bacterial small subunit ribosomal RNA", at positions 524 to 776 of the family's 1533-position model. The record is from RNAcentral.